CAAAGUUAGAUGUGAAUUGUGUAUGUGUCCAAUUGGCUGUUGUGAAUGGAGGGGGAAGGGUGUUAAAAGCUGUUAGUUGCAGUGAUUUUUAUUGCACUGACUACAUGGUCUGUGGCUAGAACUGUAGGCUCUGGAGGAUAACCUCAUGUCACGUACUACAAGGGCGCUUCUGGGAGGAAGGAGCAAGUAUCUGCCAAAACACUCGCUCUUGAGCAGCAAGGUUACAUCUUUGUUUUGUCAUGUUACUGGAGAACCAGUGGUGUUUUUCCUUCAAGGCCUAAAGUUGUUUUAUUUAUGGUAGGUUAUUUUUUUGUUGUUGUUGUUUGUUUCAUUUUUAUAUAUCUAGAAUAGAAAAAAUAUGAGAACAAAAAUUUAUGAUGGUAUGGUACAGAGUAUUCAUGGGUUUAAUUCUGUUUCCUGUAUUCAAGGGAUUUCCUAGCAAGAAUAGAAACCUCUGCAAUAAAAAUUCCUAUUUAUGUUAAUCUUCUGCAAUCAGCGUGCAGUCUGAAAUAAUUACAAUGAAAACACCCUCUGCUCCAAACGCUCACAACUUGCAUUUAUUUUGGGCUUUUUUUGCCUCAGAAUUCUGAAAACAUAAUCCCUCAUUCUGCUCUGCUUCAUCUCCUUUGCCUGAAUUUAUCCAACAGAACCCUUUGUGAGCUUCAUUAACAAUGGUCAUGCCAUAAUAAAUUACAUAAUUUGGGAAGUUUUUAAUUAAAUAAGGUAAAAAAAAAAUCAAAGCAUAAUAAAUUAAAUUAGGUAACAUUUUACCAUAAUGAAUUUCCACAUGAGGUGUGUAAUGAAGUAGACCAAAGUAUAAUCUAUAAUCUGAAGCUUUUAGCUGUUACAGCUUUACUAGUCUAAGCUACAAAAUGUUUUUGUUUUUUUUUAAUAUUUUUUGAAAAAAAUUCAUAUGUCAAACAUAAUUUUCUCUUCAAUGGAUUAUGCAAAGGUAGCAGGAAAAUGUUAGCAAAGGCACAGUGAAGAGUCUGUUUGACUCUGUGAAGACACAUCUUCCAGCCUUUCCUGUUCCUUUCAGACCUGCUUGCCCAAGCAGCUGUCCUUCAUGUAUCCUUUCAACACUGGGCACAGUAAAGAGUAUUUUUGGUAGAACUGUUCAAUAUGUUUGGAAUGAAUCGUAGAAUCACCAGGGUUGGAAAAGAUUUCCAAGAUUAUCCAGUCCAGCUGUCCACCUACCACUAGUAUUUCCCCACUAAACCCUGUCCCUUAGUAGAGCAUCUAAGUGUUUCUUGGGCACCUCCAAGGAUGGCUCAGGGAAGAUGUAAUUGCAGCCUUUCAGUACUUGAGGAGAGCUUAUAAGCAGGAGGGGAACUGACUUUUUAUGCAGUCUGAUAGUGAUAGGACAAGGGGCAGUGGCUUUAAACUAGAAGAGGGGAAAUUUAGGCUACUUGUUAGGAAAAAGGUUUUUACUCAGAGAGUAGUGAGGCACUGGCACUGCUGCCCAGAGCUGUGGAUGCCUCAUCCCUGGAGAUGUUCACAGCCAGAUUGGAUGGGACCCUGGGCAGCAUGAUCUAAUGGGUCGCAGCCCUGCUCAAAGCAGGGGGCGUAGGAGCUCACUUUAAGAUCCCUUAAGGUCUUAAAGAUCCCUUCCAACCCAAGCCAUUCCGUGUUCCUAUGAUUUUCUUACAUGGCGCAACUAUGUAACUUUUACCAAGGGGAUGUUCUCCAUCAAAAGGAUUUGGUCCUGAAAGGCUUUCCUUUCCAUAUACAGUAUGCAGCUUUGUGACAGUGAAUGGUGCUUUGAUUUUCAGAUUGUGAUGGGAUUAAACAAAAACCAAUGGAAGAGGACGUGGAAAGAGAAUUUUUAAAAUCAUUAAUAUUGAUUUGUCUUUUUCCCAGUAUCUCCAAAUAAUUACAGGAAGCAGUGCAAAGGGAGUAGUCUUGGACAUUAUAUUCACUAUUUUGAUUUGAUGAUGCAUAGAGACAGAAUAAUGUUUUGUAUUCAUCUUUCACAAGGGCAAAUGGCUGUGUAGAAGGCUAUGAAAAACAGUGACUAUUAUUUGUAUCUCUGGGAAGCAUCCUUCCCUUCUGAUAUUUUAAUUUAGAGCUGGUUUAGAGAGGAAAGACUGAUGACAGCAACGUCAGGCUAUAUUUUGGGGUGAGUUUCUGUUUUUUGAGGAUCUUGCAUUAUUCCAUCAUGCUCUGAAACUGCGGAAUUUGACUUUUGAAUGUUCCAUUGAAGAAAAAAAAAAAAAGCAACAGGUUAUUUGAUUUGUGUAUGUACAUAUAAUUAGGGCAUGCAGAGUGAGUAAAAGAUGUGUGAUGAGAGAGAGAAGGCAAAGAUAGAGUGCCUGUCACAUUGUGACAAUGCUGCCUGUGGUACUGUUGAGAGUGCAGAGUCUGUCCCCUCCUACUCAGCUGUCACCUCAUCUUGGGUCACUGCAGGGGUAGCUGAGUGUCAUGGGAAGCAAAAAAAAAAAAAGUCUGUUGUAUUUUAAUGGUGCUUCUGGCAGUAAUUCUGCUUUCUGCUAUAUACAUGUAAUACUUAACCAAGUGAGGUCUGUUGUAAGGAUGGAACGGCAGCUUGUCUGGGAUAACUCAUGAACCUGUUAGCAGGUGGAUCUCUUACAGCUCACUGACUCACAGGCUAUAGUUCGUUUUCCCCCGAAAGACUUUAUACAGCAUUUCAGUAUAUCUAGAUAGCCCAUCUCCCUCUUUCCUUGUCUUUUCACGUCAACAGAGUAACUGUUGUAAAUUUAGAGAAGGUAUGAGGGCAUAAAGUUUAUGUAGCAGAAGAGCAUCUGUUUUACAGAAAGUACCCCAUUUAGGUUUUAAGCAUCCUGAGCCGUUGCCAGGCAGGACUCCUGGAUGAGAACAUUGCACAGAAUCACUGCUGUCAUCCUCUGUAACAUUUUAGGUAACUUGUUUGGCAGUCUGGUGGUAAAGAUGGACAGAGAUCCAGAAAGCACAACCAUAGUAAGAGAAGCUGAUACACAGCUGUAGGGGAAACAUCAAUGUACAGAAAAAGAGGUUAAAAUGCAAAGUUAGAAUAUGAAGUGUUGGCUCAAAAAGCAGCUCGCUAAUAGCGACUUGUUGGGUUGGGAACAUACUGCCUUCAGCAAGAGGCUCAGACCUUUCCCCUUUGGGUGGAAGACCUCACAAGUGAGGGACCUCGGGGCGAGAGGGAAGAAAUUCUUGCUCUGCAAGUGGUACAAAUUGGAUGGCUAAGGUACAGAAUUAUAUUAAUUGUAUCUGGAAAAGAAUAUAUUAGAAAUUAGUCUUGAUGACAGGAGUGUGUCAAAUUAAUAAAUUAUGUAUUUUUGGAAUUAUACAGCGUGUCGGAAGCCAAUUUUGUUCCAGGGGAAAUGUGAUAUCUUUUCCCAUUGUGUGUGAGUUUCCAAAAGGAUGAAAAGCAAGGAAAAUGUAAAGCUAAAAGAGAAGUUGUCAAAUGGAGGUGCAUGCAGAGAAGGGAAUUGACUGUGCCAUUUAAACUGUAUAAAUCAACAGCGAUGUGCCCUAUCUCUCAGACCCUUCCGGUAUCUCUGUGUGUUCAGACUGCUAGAUCUGUUUUCCAUUUUCGACAAUAGAUUUUACCUUGACCUGUGCAGACAGUCAUAUCCUUUUACAUAGCGGUGACUUCCCAGAGAACACAAGCAUAAAUCUGCUCUGUUGCCAUGAGGUACACACUGUGCCUCACAGCAGAUCUGUUUUUUAACUCACAAGAAUGUGUGCAAGGGGAUUUUGCUGUGCUGCGGAGAAUAUUUGAGCUGCAUUUUUACAUACCAACAUUUUAUUUCUUCUGCUUGCAGAAUCUGAAUAGUUUAGAAAGGAAACGUAGAGCUACCAUUGGCACUCCGAAAUGGUCUUGCUUUUCAGAAUGUCGUUUCUGUAAUCCUACUGGGGAGGAGGAGCUAUCUGUUCCAAGGCAGUCAGUAUAGUUAUGAAAAUGUUCAAAGAGUUGACAAUUAGGAAUAAUCAUUCACUGCUGCUGCUUUGUUUCUAGUGUAGUGAACAUAUUUUUUGGAGUGGAAUUAAAUCCAAGUCACUCCAGGGGCCAUUGGUAUUUUGCAAAUGCUAAAUUAAAGUGUGCCAUGUGCUGCGCACAAGGGGUGGUCAGUAGUGGCUUGACAGAAUUCAAUUGUGUGUGUGGCAGGGGUGCUCCGGCUCACUGCAUGUGGGUGUGAUGCAGCCGCAAUCUGGUGGGAAAACAACCUUUCACAGCCCCUUUUCUUUUUGUGAACAGGAGGGAGACGUUCCCCAGCUGUGUUCCAUCCUGCCCUCCGGUGAGGUGGUCCUGGAGAGCGGGCCUCCUGCACAGCCACUUUUUGUUCCUUCAAUUCAUCACCAUCCCUUUGGUUUUUUUUGUAUUUUUUUUAUUCCACUUCCAGGCUGCAAAUACAUGGAAUGAGGAACAAGUUAAUUAGAAGCCAUGAAACAGGGAUGGAAGCUGAGCUACCUUAACAAACAGUAGGUGAAGAAGCAGGUUCAGAUUGGAAAGAAAUAAUCUUUAUGUCCUUCAAAAUUAUCUUCCUAUUAAGUUACUGAAGUAUAGGUAUGGAGGAAUUGAUAUAGAAAUCACAGAAUUGUUUGAGUUGGAAGAGACUUUUAAAGGUCAACUAGUUCAGUGUAGUACCAUAUCCUUUUUGGGACCUGCUGCUGUAUGUUGGAAGUCCCUAAAUGGUGUAUUGUCCUCUGCAAUUGUCCUAGGAAAGGUCCUCACCUUUCACCUUUCUCAGCUGUGUGCUUUGAGCUUGUUCACCCUACUCAAGCUAGUGUAGGGAGUGCACAAUGUGUUGCAGCAUGUUUGGGCUCAAAGAAUGUUAGCGGGGAGAGAGCCACCAAAAUUAAACUUACCAAUCUUGUACCUGGGCCAGCGCUCACUGGAUGGGGAAGUUUCCCCCCCAAAAAAAGAGCUAAGGACCCUAUUCACAUGCUUUCCAUCUUCCCAUUCUCUUUCCAUGUGUCUCUGAAGGCUAAGCUAAUCAGGCAACCUUCUGCUGGCUACAAAUAGGGUUCACGGAGCGUGGUAAGCAUGGCCUAUGUAGCAUGCAGUAACUGAAGGGGUUAUUCAUGGGACGAUGCAGUGCUCAAAGCAGUACAAGUGAAGGUAGGGGCUUGGGGGAAAAUUACCCUGAUGUGUACUGUGCCCACAGGAUCCUCAGGGAGGAGCAUGCUGCCUUGGGGAAGGAGCAAGAGCUGUGGUUGCUGCUUGGUGCAGGUGCUGUGGCUGGUUCAGCGGCAGCAGGGCAGAGGAGUCGGAGGGAACAGUGAAGCAUCUGAAUAUACUUUUGGCUUGCAUGAUGUUUGGAAGUUAUUGUGUGGCAUGGCAGCAUUUUGUUAAUUUACUUAGUAAUUUGUGAUGGCAGUAGCUGAAUAUUGAACAGCUUAAAUCUAAACAACUGGCUUUCGUACUUUGGUGGAGAGUUGUUGAGUGAAACAACAGGGGUAAAUUGUGAAUAGAAGAGAAACCAUCAAGUGCAGCUUUCUGUGAACCUGCCCACCCUCUUCUUUGUGCGAUACUGAGCAGCUGGGGCUGUGUUAUCUCAACUUAUCAUUGGUAAUCAGAAUAUAGAUGUUUCUUGGGGGAUAUGUUUUGCUUUCAGUUGUUUUGGUGGAAAUCUACAGUUAUUAACUAAAUCAUUUGCAUGUAGACCAGCAAUACUGCAAAGAGAAUUUGAACAAUUUUAUCAGUGUGGUGAGAAGUACUUUCAUUUUGUGAGAGCCUGCUGUCUUUGUUUAAUCAAAGAAGAUACUACUUGAAUAUAAAAUGAGACAAUUUGCGCUGUUGUCUUUUUUUCUUCCAUGGGAAAAGAACUGAUGUACUAAUCCUUGUAGAAGCAAAACUAAUAGAGUUCUCUAUACAUUAAUUAAAAAUACUUCGUUUAUUAAAGAAUGCCAUUUUCCUAAUCUUUAAUAUUUAUGAAACCUGUAAAAACAUAGGACACAGUACUUUGCCAAGUUAGUUACAGAGGUGUAUAUUGCUGUAAUCAGAUUUCUUCAGCUGAUUUGAAUGUUUUGCAGGGAGAUGUUUUCUCCCUUGAAUGCCAUGGAGUUUUGCUCUCAGUGGUCCACUGGACUCCCUCUAUGUUUUUUAAUGCAAAGCCAGGUAGGUGUGUUUAUGAAUUGCUGUCCUAGACUGCUUUCUCCAGAGGUGUAAUUUAGAAGCUGGUGCUUCAUUCAUUAUUAUGCUUGCCUUGGUCUGAAUCUACAAUUUGGUCUGUUGCUCAAGUUGCAGAAUGAUGACUCAUUCCCUUCCUUCACUGGGUAGUUGCACUUGAUCUUAUUGAGAUAAGAUUCUUAGAUUAGUUUUUCUGCAAAGCUAGCAAGAAGUACUUACAGCAUUCAGGGUGGAUUGUAAUUCCACUGAUACAUAUAUAUAUGUAUAUAUAUUUACUGAAAAAAAACAAAAAGGGUGGUUGUGACUAAAAAGUUGUUUAUAGAUUAUUUAAUUAUGCCUCUUUUGGGCUCCAUACAGUGUAGGUAAGAAGAUGUUCUCCACUCAUUUCUAGUAUGCAUGAGAAAAGUCAGCUUGUAUGGAACAAAAGUGGUUAUAUUCAAGAGCAGGUUGUAGUGAAACGACAGGAGACAUCCAUCUCAUAGUCUAUGGAAAUCUAAGUAAAGAAAGUAAUCCUAGUGGAAUGUCUGCUGUAUUUGCAGUUUCUUGUAGAAGAGCAGUUUUCUGCAUGGAAUGUCCCCAAGUGACAGAAGAAUCCUGCUGGUGUGAAUACAUGUCUCCAAAGAGUAGGAUAAAGAGAAGUGAGAGAUGAAUAAAUAGAUAGGUGGUAGAGGGAGACACGGUAACCAAAUCUUUGUUCCUGGAAUCGCACCUUCAGUGUGGACGACAGCAUUAAGUAUGUCCCAGCUAGACUCCUCUCACUCUAUCUUUACUGGGAAUUAAGAUAUUCUCUCCAUGAAUCCUGUAAGAGAGAACUCUACAGUAAGGAAUAUUGUGCCUCCAGAAUUAGACAUAAAUCAUCACUUGUGUAAUGGACUAUUUCUUUAUUAUCCAGCAGUUUUUUCUGUUCUUUGGUUUUCAGAGACCGCACAUGUUGAUUUUCUUCACUUGCCAUGUGGUCCUAACACAUGGUGGAGGAAGGACAUUCAGACCUGAAUUAUUUUAUCUCCUAGAAUCUGUCAGUUUUCUAAUGUCACUUUUUUCUUCUUGGUAUUGCUUCUAGUAUUUUUAUUUAAUUUUUAAAAACAGCAUUUAGGGUUCAGAUUGUUGCCUUAAAACUGACUGUUACUGUUCACUAUUAAAAAUAUCAUAGUGGACUACAGCUCAAAGAACUGUUAGGAUAUAGUUUUGCCUUUAUGUAGGUUGUUUUUUUUUUAAUGAGAUUAUUUGCCUAUAUUAAUGUUCUUUACUUUGCUAGGUCUGUGUAGACCACAAGCUUUAAUUUAUUUAAGUGAUCCUAGCUUGUUCAUUUUCCAGAUAUUUAUCUAUUAGCUUUUAAUGGUAAGGAGAAAUUUGCAGAUAGGAGCUAUCAUGGAAUUUUGAAGAGUGCCUUUAUGCUCAGGGUAAAUAAGGAAUCUUUCUUUGUAUUUAUGUAAAGGUCUCAGCCAGUGAUCUAGGUGAAAGGGUCAUUUUAAGCUGACCUGGAUCAUUGUAUUGUGCAGACUGCAAGCAAGCUAUACGAGGCAAUAUUUUUGUUCUUAUCUGCUUAUAAGUGGUGCCUUUAUGGUGCCUUUAAAAGUAAUGUAGAGUUAACACUGAGGGCUCUCAACCUGUUUUCCAAAUGGUGCGUUCAUACCACUUCUCUGAUAACCACAUGCAAUCAGUCUUCACCUCAUAAACACUUCUGGUGGCCAUUUGGAGGGCGUGCAUCACCACGGUUUGCAAAAUCUUUCUUCAUCCUGGCUGCCGAGUUGAGUGACAAGAUUCAGAGAUGGAGUUUCUCUAUAUAGUAUAGUUACUAGUUUCCUUCAGGGCACAGGAAAGACAGCCUUCCCUCCAACUGUCUGCUGGAGUACCACUUAAAAUCACUUUCCUUCUCCAUUGUAUUUAAUAGUCUGACUGACAUUGAGUUUUUCCAGCAAUGAAGUCAAUUGGGUGAUAUUCUGCUGAGAAAUUUUUGGCCAAUGGAGACUGGUGUGAAAGAAGAGCAUGGACUAAUUCUGUUUAACAGCUUGUGCAAAAUGUAUGUAGGAGUGUAAGGAAGAAACUGUCACUACUGAAUUGCAGAAGAAAUCACUGUAGGAAAAGUGUUUAGAACUUAGGAAAAAUGAGAGAAAAUGGUGUGCAUGGAUUGAAUGUGAAGUAUCAAGUUCAGUAAGAGAAGCCAUCCAUGUGCUUCUUAGGAAAUCAGUAGUUUUCAGGGAGCAAAUUCUGUUGUAUCUUACUACUGACUGUAAGAUCACUGGAAGAAGUCUGUAAGGUUUUUGUGCGCAUCAUGACUUUACCGCGUGGCAUUACAGCUUGCUUACUACAGUUAGUGAAAUUUGUUUCUCCCAGGAACGAGUAUCCUAACAGGGCAUGGACAAAGACUUUGGCUGAUCGUAUUUUUUCACCUUUUUGAGAGAGAAAAAAUGUCAGUUACAAACAACCCAUAAAAAGCAAACAACAUUUCACUGGUAGUGUUCCAUGAACACAAACUUUUUGUGUAAUUUUUUAUAAAGACUAAAAAAUAAUUAAAAAAGCAGGGUAGCUUGCAAGCAAAACCUAAAGCAUGCCUUUGAAAAAGUGUGAAUUGUACUUCUUUGAAGACAGCAAAAUAUUUGCUUAAAUGAAUGUGACCCAUUUGAUGCUGAAAGGGAAAAUAUUUUUACACUUCAUUUUCUCUCUUCCAUAGUAUUGAAUCUUGCUUACUUUUUGUAGUCAUGCAUGAAUAUGCUAUAUUAAGUAGUAUUUUUUCUGAGUUAUCUGAAUUUCUUAUGAACUGACCUAUGAAUUAAAGAAGACUGCUUGAAAAAAUAAUUUCAGAGGAAAUUAAAUUAAAAGAUCAGAACAACUCAUUAUUUCCUUCUUCUCAUACAGCAAUUGUAUUUUUUCCUUUACAUAAAUGCAUAUGUUCCCUCUGCUUUCUGUACCUUUCUAGAAUUAUUUCCUACGGGGUUAUUUUCUACAUUAUUUUUUUCCAAGUGCAAUUUUUUUUUUUUAUCUAUCAAAUGAAAUGAAGAUACUAUAAAGUGAAAUAAAUAGAGGGGCAGGUUAGCAUACAGAAACAUAGAACAUUUGUCCAGAAAAUAGGGCUUAAUCCAGUUGGUCAAAGUAAUGAGGCUAAACAGAAGAGAAUGAGCAUUUUUGUGGUGAAAGUAAUGUUAAGAAAAAAAUAUGAAGCCCUAGGGGAAAAUUUACAAAUAACCACUUUUAAACACUCUAUCCUUAUGAUUAGAAAGAACUGUCUCAAAUAAAACAGAUGUAAAAACUCACUGGUGCUCCUGUUCCAAUCUGUAUCAGCUCUGUUGAACUGCUUUCAAACCACUGUGUGAUAGGUAAGGGGCAGGGUCAUCUUGCCACAUGAUGAUUGCCUGGAAUUGUGUAUUUAAUUGCUUCUUUGCCAUCGCCCCUUUCCUACCAUGAGCAGCAGCAGGCAGUGGCUGCUAGCAUUCUGAGGUAAUGACUGUGGGCAAAAAUGCCUUUUUUAGGCUUUGUGCCUAAGGGAACUCCUACUCAGCAUCCACAAAAAGUAGAAAUUAAACCUGUUGCCUUGGAACGUAAACCAAAAUUGUUUGAAGUAUUUAAAAGGAAUUUCUCUGCUGUCAGUCUUUGGUUAAUUUUAAACAUAUUUUUGUUACUGCAAACUUGAAAAUUAAGAUUAUGCUUUUUUUCCAAGACAUUAACUACAUGGUACCAUCAUGUAGCUCUUUUGCCUUCAUGCAGAUGUUAUCCUCUUGCAUGAGUCCCUCCCUGGUUUGGUCAGCAGUGGCACUACCCUCCUCAACUGCAGAUCAUCUGGACCUGCAGAAGUAUGGAGCAGAGGCAAUAACUCUUGCUUCUCUGGUGGCUUGGAUUACCCGAACGCCUUCAGAGUCUGGUGUUCUGGGAGUCACUGGGAUUGCUACUUUAAGCAAAUGUCCUGAUAGAAAAUGUAGCUGAUACCAGGAGAUGAGAUCAGUUAUAUUGGCUUCACUGGAAGAUAGCAAGAGAAAACCAUGGAGAAUCCUUCAGUGAACACAGUCACAAGAUAACAAGUCAGACCCAAUGAUUUUCAGUUUGGCAAGCUGGAGACCAGCAGGAUAAAAAGCUUUUUUUCCUUUUAAGGCUACAAAACCCACCAGGAGACUUCAGGGAAAACCUCGAUGGCUUGUUCCUGUGGAGUUCUUUUUUUCCCUUGACAAAUAUUGCAUCUAUUUCUGUAGAAGGACACGAGUUGGCCUUAAAUUUUCCAAGACAGGAUUAUAAAUGAGGGAUGGAAAAAUGUACUUCCUGUUACAAUCCAUUUGGCUGACUUUUUAAAACUAAUAACAAUUAAUUAAACUAGAUGGGAUUUUGUUCUGUAAUUUGGGUGCAGAAAAUGGAAUUAAAAUCUCUGCUUGUUUUCUGGUUAAGUGUCAUCUUAUUGCCAAAAAGCUUUGUGAAAAAGGCUUAUACUUUCUUUUCCAUUCCUUUCAUUCCUUCCUACUCUCUCUCUCUUUCUCUCUCUCUCUUUUCCUUUCUCUCUUUCUCCUCUCUUCUUUCUCUCUUCUUUCUUUCUUCUUUCUCUCUCCUUCUCUUUCCCUUCCUUUGGCAACAUUCUCCAAACAGAUUGUAUGAAAGUAGGCACUCAAAUUAGUGUUUUUAAUGCAUGGAAGUCAGUUAACUGCUUCAUUAGGUUCUUAAGAAUUUGUUUACCAAAAGUUUGGCCAUGUGUGACUUAAUGUCAUUUCUAAAAUCUCCUCUCAAGAAUAUCCUGAUCAGUUUUUUCUUUUUUUGUGUGUGUAUUCUCACUUAUUAGGGGCUAUUAACAUAUUGUCAACUCAUUAACUUUUACUCAAUGUGUUGAUUGCAAUUUUUGUGACAUAAAUGAAUAAAUAUUUACAGAUUUGGUCCUUAGCUUUUAGAUGUUGGUGUAAGCUAAAAAGAGGACCACUAAUUUGCUCUACAGUUUAAUGUCACCAAGUAGUAAUUCUGUACCUUCAACAUUUGUUCAGUAAUAUAUCCAUUUCUCAAGGAGCACUGUUGUGGAAACGAGCACAGUUUUAAUUAAUGUUUUCCACCAUGUGCCUUACAAUUAAUAUUUUAAACACAGAACAGCUUUAAUUGGUCUUUUUUACCCACACAAUUCAUGGUGAAAACUGUGCUCAAUGGUUAGAUAUUUUGUAAACCCAGCUAAGUAAUAUAAAACAUAUACAUCCAAUUUCUGCUUUUACAGUAUUCACUUAUAAUUCCCUGUUUCAAGCAAAGGCACCCUGUGAAGUGCAUCUCUUCUGUAAAGACAACACAGACUGUACAACUGUGUAUAACAUAAACAGGAAAUAAAAACAUUUCGUUGGGAUUUAAAUGUUGUGCUGCAUAACCUAGAAUUAUCUCUGUGUUAACUUAUACUGUUUUCAGAUAUUUUUCCUUGAAUUUUCGUUCUUACAGAUGUAAGGGAAAGUAAUCUCAAAUUGUGUCUCAAAUUGGAAGGCACCUCUGGUUAUUGCUCUGUUUAACCUACCUGCUCAAAGAAGGGUCAUCUGCUGCAAGUUGCCCAGGACAAGCAGGAUAAGUCAAGAGACAGAAAUUCUGCAUCAUCUCUGUAAAACCUGUUCCAGGUUUAAUCAUUCACAGUAAAAGAAAAAGAUUAUUUUCUUAUAUUCAAGUAGUAUUCCCUGUAUUUCAGUUUGUACUUGUUGCCUUUUAGCAGCAGCACAUCCACCUGGUCUAUCAACUGCUUCUUCCAGUUCUGUAUUACCAGCAAACUUGCAGAGAACUCUGUCCUGUUGUCUAGAUCAUUCACAAAAACACUAAAUGAUGCUAUCCCUAUUGCUGACCUCUGGGGUACUCCACUUGUGUCUGGACUCCAGCUGGACUUUGUGCUGCUGGCUGCAGUCUUUGCAAGUCCUCAGUUCCAUGAAAUCAAGAUAAAUAAUAUUCACUUCUCUCUUGACUCCAUGAGAUGGGCCAGGCAUCCCAUCAGGGCCCAUGGGUUUGUGCAUGUCCAGUUUGAUUAAAUACUCCUGAGCUUUAUCCUCCUCUAUGACAGGGAGUCUUCAUUGCAUGAAUUUUUUGUGGGUACUUCUCCCCUCUCCUGUGCUUGGCCUGGCUGUGUGCAAGCUAGGCUGCAUAUAAGCAGGUAACAGAGCAAGUACAGGCAGUGCAGGGAUUUCAGAGCUAGUUUGAAUGUGUCAGAACAGCGAGGUGGAUUAGUCUGUAGUCAUGUUCCUGUUGCAGUCGAGAGCUGUCAUCUGUACCUGAGCAGGGUUAUUUAAGCUAGCAUGGCUAUAAGAGUCGCAGUCUACACAUAUUUCUCCAUCAAGCAGGGGAAAAAAAAAAAAAAAAAAAAAAAAAAACACCCAGAAAAAAAAAUAUGAAGAUGCUGUUUCCAGCUCAGUAGGACCCUGACAGCUCCUGAGCUCAGCAGGACCCUGAGCUGUUGCCUCGCAGGGUACAGAUGCAGAUUUUGGGCUCCCCACUUCUGACAAGCUCCAGGCCCAGCAGCAACUUGGCAAUCCUGCUGCUUACGGGGGCGGAUGGCGUGGAUCAUCCCUCUCCUGCUGAGUGUGUCCUGCCAGUGGGAAGCACAGGUUAGUCAGCCCUGUCCUCCAGGAGGAACUGAACACCCCCACCGAGUGGAGUCAGAGCUGAGAAGCUGCCCAUCUUUGGCAAAUUUCCUCUACUCUUCCAGCAUGGCUUCAUCAGCUUUAGAUUAAUAAUAACUUUUAAAAUCCCUUCAGUUUCUCAGGGUUGCUUAAAAAGCUGGCAGCUCUCAGUGGGUUGAACAACAAUGAGAAUUUAGCCUGGCGUGGCCUACCAGAUUUGCUCCUCUUCUUGCAUGUGGAGGGAUGGCUCUGAGUGGGAACCAUGGCACUGCCUCAAAACUAGCGGAAGAUCAUGGGUGUUGUGGUAAUCAGACCCAAGAGAAGCUGUGCUAUCUUCUGGGCUGCUUUCUGCUGGCAGUGUUAUGUAGAGAAGUUCAUUUACUUUCCUCAGCAUAUCUUCUGUUGUUAAGGUGACUUGUUGAGUCCAGGUUGCAAUGUGUGUUUGUUUCAUGUUAGGACAUUCACGAUAUAACCUGUAUUGAGCAUCUCAUCUUACAGACAUAUCCUGUCCCCUCCUCACCACAUCCAUCCGAAGUUCAGCUUCUGAUCACGACUAAGAUCCUGAGCCCAAGUCCAGACAAGCAGCAGUCAACAGGGCCACUUUGUUCCCCUCUGACAUGAGGGGUUUGUGACCUCCAGUGCAGUGAAGAAGCAAUUUCCUUUUGUUUUGAAGAGGGCUGACUGAAAGCUACAGAUGGAAGGACUUUUGAAAAAGAAGUAGCCUUUUUAGUGAGAGAGGAAAAUAUAGAUGAGGUGGAAAGUUUGCAUUCUGGUUGAAAUUUUGCAUUCUAUGGCAUUUUAGAGAAAUUGGUUUCUCUCUCAGACGUUCUAAACUUUUAAAGUUCUUUUUUUUUAAGUUGUGUCAAUAAGAAUGUGACUUACAUAUAAUUGGGUUCUAUGAGAAAACAUGUAUUCCAAUAACACUGAAAAAUCCAUUGCAAUAUCAGUAGCACCUCUGAUACAAACAUCAUGAAACAUGAAGCAGAACUAAGAAAUGACUUAAGUGAAAAUGUGUCACUGUAAAAGGAAGGCUGUGAAUUUCUUUUUUUCUCUUCAUCCAGCUUAAAUGUUGAGCCAGUUGCACAUGUUAAUGAGUAAAUGUGGAAUGUAUAAUUUUGCCUGGGGAGUAUUUUACUAACCUUAAAUAAAAUAAUUACCAGCAUAUUUUAAAUAGAACAUUUUUUUUCUCUCAUCCUACUACUAACGUUGAUUCUAAGAGAAGGCUAAUUCUUUUUUAUAUGAAUAAAUGAUUGUGCUAUUAAGGCAGCUGUUAUAAUAAUUGGUGGAGAACUAAUCACUCAUUAAGUUGUUUGUGCUACCAUAACAGUAACUCAGUAGUAUGAAGUAAUGGUCUUGUGGGUUAAUGUUGUAGUUGAAGUUGCAGAACACCUUUGGGGCUGAUAGUUGACUUGCCUACUUUUCCCAGUUUCAUGUGAGGUGUUUACAUCUGCAAAAGACCAUUUCAGUGUUGCAACUUUGAAGAAUUUUAGAAGGGUUGCUUGCAUGAGGACAUUUUUUGGUUGAGAGGGAAUUUGUGAGUCUCAGUGAGAAGGGAAGCAGAUGAAGUAAGCCCAUAUAAUUGCUUGUAGGACUUGUCAAGGCUCAUGCCCUAAGGAGCCACUUGCUUGCCAGCAUGCUGUUUCCUGACUUGCCAUAGUACAGUCAUGCCCUGGCUGCUAGCAUGGCCUCUUCAUUCUUCUCCUCCUGAUGGCUGUGAACAUCAGGAAACCACCUCGAUUUGUUUCUUCCUAUUCAGUGUAGCGCGAGUCACUCACCCUGACUUUCUUUUUUUCAGGUGCUCUCUCGGUUGAUCAUGAGGAUAAGUUGUUUUAACUCCAGAGAUUUCUUUACUGAAAUAGAGCAGGGGUCUCUAGCUCCACUAGAGCUGGGUCUGUGCAGCUUUCAUGCUGAAGAGACAUAGCCUUGUGCUUGUUCUUUUCCAGAAUAACAACUGCUGUUUUAUUUUUCACAAAGGUAGUUUAUUUUUCCUUUAUCUAGAGACAAUACAUUUGGGAGAGGGUGUUUGACUGUUUUGGAGGGGGCAGGGCAGCUGAUACCAAGAAGCCAAGGAUUGAAGAGUACAGCACAGGAAUGCGCUGAGGUCUGAAGGAGUGCUGUUGAUGAGGGUGUGCAUCCGAACAUUUAAAAUACGCAGUGACUUACUUGCACUGUGGCUACAAGUGUCUCCCUUCUGUGCUCCAGGAAGGUACUUUGGAGUGCAGAGUGCCAUGAGAGCCCCAGGGGUGCUGUAACAUAGCUGCUGUCUGCUAGGCACUGGCUGCCUUCAAAUUCAGCUCAUCUAUCAUGAAUCAGCUUGAAAAUUGGUUGUCAACGCUAUGUUAGCUGAGGCUUAAUAGUGGACUGUUCCUCAGGCUAGCAAAGGUUGCAAGGUUUGAAAUUACGGUUUGCAAGGACAGACUUCUCUGUGCAACUGUGAGAGACGUAAAAUCUAACAUUUUCUGUAAGCAUUCUUGUGGAACACAGACAAACUCUUCCUGAACCACAUCCUGACCAGUACUGAAAGUGUGCGUGGCACCACUGUAUUGUGAAAUCAUUUUAUUGUGUAUGAACUGGUCCAUUAUCCUCACCAUCAGUUAGGAGGGGCAGGGUGAAACUGGAAGGUGCCUUUGGCUGACUGAAAGCAAGAGGGGAAGGAGUCAGAAGUGCAGGAGGUGUUCAGAUAGGAACCAGACUCUGGAGAAAGGACCAGCAUUGGUAGAACACUGUGGUACUACAUCUAUGACAUCUCAGAGGUAGGGGAAUGAGCAGUGUAGUGCUUCCUGUGAUGGAAAGCAUAAAGAAAAAUAGAUUUAGAUGUGCCAUUCUUCAGUUUGCUUUACCAUUCUUCAUAGUACGUAGAUGUGGAUUUAAUAACGUGGUUGCAUAGCCAAUUUGGAGUUGUUUGAGGGUCCUGAGAUGUUGACUUGUGUUCAGAUGUCUGGUUGAAUAUGUAAGAGAAGUAAAGUAAAUUUUAAAUUAGGCUAUACAGAUCUCCUUGACCAUAUCAGACCAUCUCUGCCAAAUCAGUCAAUGGGAAGAUGAUGCUGCUAAUGGUAAUUUGAUUCACGUCUUGUUUUGGCAGCCCCCAGAAAAUUGGUGUCUUUUGUAGUACACAUUAGUGGUUGUAAAUUUCCCUGGACUUCAGGUUGUAAGAGGGUCUCCUGCAGUCUCAUGAGCUGUGGUGGCCUCUUGGACAGUGCCUGCGAAGUGUGGGAUUUCCUCACUCCACAGUGUGAGCACGGGUAUGACAGCAGUUUCUUCCUUUUUUUGCUAUUCCUGCAAUUGCACAGGUGUUUCUGUCAGCCUUGAACAUUCCUCUGCAUAUCACUGCUUUUCUGUCCCCCAUCUUUUUGUCCUUAUAGUCCUAUCAGCAAAACAGAGUCUUUCUUUGUUGCUUAGUCGUGUCUAUAAAGAGCCCCUAAGACCUGAUACGUCUUUCUGGCAGAAAAGCUGGAGCGUGGCUUUGAAUUUGUAUUAUUUCACCUGGGGAAAAAAAUGGUAAAAAUAAUUCUUAAUUUCAAAAGAAUGCCCAUUAUUUAUCUGCUCUGCCAUUACAUUUCAUUGUUUCUCCAUAUUUCUUUUUAGAAGUUGUUCUGGGUGAGGAACUAGUGAUGUUGUUUUACUUAUCACCAGCCAGAAUGUUUUGAGGGAGUGUGUGGAUGCAUGGGACGUGUACUGGCAGAGAAAGCUGCUCUUGUAAUUAUGCUAAACACACCUCACCAAGAGUUGCUGCUGUUUCAGGAACGAGAGAAGAAUGGAAUACAUGUGCCAAGCGCUGGGGACAGAUUCAUUUCAUCCAACGUGAUUUUUAUACGUCUUGUUAGAAAUGAAUGGAUUAGCAACCGGGCAGGGAUUGCAGGUGACACGGCAAGACUUGGCAUAGCAAAGAAAACCCGGGGCCACCUGGACUCUUGUAGUGAGUGAAAAAAUGCAGUUUUAUGACUCUCCUGGAAUCAGACUGAAAUGAGAAUGGUAAUAAACAACUUCUGUGCUAAUAGCAGGGUGCCUUACCGUGCAGGUGGUCUGGAACAGAAGUGAGUGCCUUUAAGCAUUGUUUUAUGGUGUUACACAUUUCAGGCUGAAAAAUGGCCAUAAGCUUUAUUACUUUAAUAUUAACGCUUUUUCAUUACUCUCUCUUUCUCCCUCCUGGAAACUGCUGCAUUCAUCCAUUAUAAAGUGGCUAGCACUUUUCUCUCCUCUCCUGCCAUUUCUCACAGCGUGAGGAGGGAAAGGCAGGUGGGUGGCAGGAGGUACAGUCGAAGACGUAACAGCACUGCAGCCCUUCCCACCUGGAGCCAAGCCCAUGCUGCUGCCAGUUAUCACCUGCUGGGGAGCCAUGCAAAGCCCUCAGGGAUGGGGCACCGAGCCACUCCAUGGCCAAUGCUUUCUGGUGACCUGUGAGAGGACUGCUGCUGUUACAUGGGCUUCUCCCAUUUAGGUUUUCCAUCCUGGGUCUGUGCUGGUGGGCAAGGGCUUGGCAGUGCAGAUAUUGAUGUCCAUUGCCCGUGCUGAGGUAGUUCCUCCUCAUUUCUGCUAUGGCAGGGCUUUGAGCUUGCUGGAGAGGGGCCAUGUUUGUUUGUUUUUAAGACACCCAAUUCCUGAAUUCUUUUUCCUACUCUAAAUAUGUCAAGUUAAGUUUAUCUCAGUGCCAGUACCAACUGUAACUAGAGUUAAAUUUUCCCUACCAUUGCCUCUGCUUGAUUCUCACUUUUUAAAAAGCCUUAGUAAAAUAAAUCGUGCCCUGCAUGCCUUUAAAUUUCAUUAUCACGACCUAACUUAAUUUACUAUAAAUUAUUUUUCCCUGAGUUUCUUCACCUGUGAACUUGCAGCCCCCAGUGUCUUGCUCAUUGGAUCACUGCCCAGCUAAUCAAGAUUUUUUUUCUUCACAAUCCUUGCUUUUUGUAUCAGCUAGCUUUGCCAAAGUCAACUUGGCUGUAUAAACUCUGUGGGGACACACAGAAAGCUGAUAUAUUCUUGUCUUUAAAAUAAGAGUUUUAUUGAACCAAGUUUGACUCUCUUCCUGUCGUGCUCUAGUAAUUGCUAAUAAAGACCUCUCCUCCCUUAGAAAAUAAGUGACUUCUGUGCUUUGUUCUCAUUUUGGAGGCAGCCAUUGCAGUGCUUUCUUCUGACUCUUCCUUUCUUUUCUUUUUUCCUUGGGAAGAAUGACUGACUGAGUGGAAAAUCUCUGCGCACUCAGUAUUGAGCAGCUGUGUCUUGGUUUUGUUUUUUAGCACAGUUAGAUUUCAAGUCUGAUAAAGGCUGGUGUUUAUUUCCACUGAGAAAUGCCAAUCCAUUUUCUCUUUAGAGCUGUUCCUAUUAUUUAGCAAUUGUUGAUAAACAACUUUUAUUUCAGCCCCCUGAACACUGAAGGCUCGCCUCUCACCAAGCUGCUGGGUUGCAGCCAGGCUCAAUACUUUGCUGAGUAAGGGUCAGAGAACCUUUAGAGAAUUUCAGCCUCCCGUGUCAAGCUGUAGUAUCAACUUCCUAUGAUCAAACAUCCUCAGAAGAGAAACGUAAACUGCAAGUUUUUUAUGACUUUAAAAAGAAACUACGUGGUUUUAAAAAAUAAAAGAAUUCUACCUGACUUCCUGGAACGCCUUGGGGCAGUCAUUUUGGAUGGAAAACGUCCUGAUUGUCGCUUGGGUGGAACACAUGUAAUCUGCAGAGUCCUUUAAUCCUAAGGUAACUCACCAGCACAUUACAAAAAUGACCAGUGUUCUAGUUCUCGUCUGGAGACAAGUGGUAGCAAUCAAAUGUUUCUGAUGAGCAGCAUAACAGAACCUUUCAAUAUGGCUUUUUUUGUUGGCUUUUUUUUUUUAAUCUUUGUUAUUCUGGCUUACUGCCUAGGUCUUAGUAGAGCAGACAUAUCAGCUAGAUGAAUUUCCUGAUGGAAAAGUGUGUUUAGCUAUUACGGUGGACGUUGAUGGAAGUGAGUUUUCUGGGUGGUCUCUAUUGAAGGCAUCCUGUUACCACCUGAUGUGGGAUGGUACAGGUGCACCUGGUACAAGAGGUACUGCCUUGUGCACAUGGCAGUCUCCUCAGUUCAGCCAUGCUUUAGUCUGACCUAAAUUACUGGGCUCAAUAUGGAGUCUACUGGUAAAACAGCACGUCAUAGGAUAGGCAGGGGGUCAGAUUAGAUGAUCUAAUGGCUCCAUCUGGCCUUAAACUCUUAAUUAGGGAAAUGCUGCCAGCAAAAAUGGCAUUGAAGCUUUCCACUGCUAGAUUUCACUUGCCUGGGAGAUCCUCAGCUGAAAUGCAGCUGUGGAGGUUGUGCGUGAGUUGGCUUUUCCUUGGGCUCUAAUGCUGACAGCAGCCAGCAGACCUAAAAGCUCUGGGUCCUGAUUAGAAGCUGCUAGCCUUGCUUUCACAGAAAUGCAAAAUCUCCAUUUCUAACUCUUCCAGACUGUUGCAUGUUCAUCUUGUACAGCUGUAAUGAUAGCUAAAUAUAGGAAUCUAUUAUUAGCCUGGUACUAUUGCAUACGUUGAAAGAAAAUAGAUAUGCUUCUCUGGCAAGCUGAUGAAAAAGAAAUGAUAGUUAUUUGAAGCUGUUCAUGGAUUAAACUAUUAAAAGUGAGGAUGUGGUUUUGGUGGUGGGUGGUUUGAUAUGGCAGGGGUUUAUGAUUCUUUGCUUGACAUCUUUAGUGCAGAAACAUGAAGUAUAUAUUUGUGCAUUGCUGCAGAUGUGCUCUUUGCUCUCUCAGCUUUGCAAGUCAGUAGUGUGCCAGCUGAAUAACCACUGACCCAGCAAAACCAGCAUCACUGAUCAACUGUUUCUUCAGCAAGCCCAAAUGGCUUGUAGUUAACUCAGUAUGUCACUUGAUUCCAGAAGGUCAUUUCAAUGCCAUCUCACAGCUGCCUAAUUGUUUAUUGAUAAUAAUUAUUCCAUGCUUACACUCUCCUUCACAAUUUUAUGAAAUUCAUUGAACUUAACUACUUUACUUUUAGUGAUAAAAUACUGUGGUAUUGCAGUAUUUAACCUUCACUUGAAGAAUUUGUAAUUGGAAAUUUCAAACACUAUAGGAUUUCUCUAUAUAAAAAUGCUACACUUUUAUUUUUUUAAUGAGAUUAUCUACUUUUGAAUGCCUCAUAGAGGUCCUGUUAUUAUACACCCCACAUAUUUCAAAGCUCAAGGAGCUGAAUAAAUAGCUGCUGAGGUGCUCUUCUAAAGCACUGUCCCCUACAGCUAAUUUAGCUUGUGGUUUCUUACUCCUGCUUCCAGAUUAUUUUUGUUCAGAAUAAUUGCUCUGGAAGUGUGUUUCUUUUAUUUGUAGUCUCAUCUUGGGGAUGUUAAUCAUAUUGUUUCAUUUUAGUAGUAGCUUCUACUGUCCUGGCUUCUUUCCUUGCAAACUCCUAGUGCCAUAGACUAUUGCUCUGUAUUUUUGACACAGGGCAGUUGUGCAUGGAAAGAAGCAGCCUUGGUUUCCUGUGGUUUAACACAUUAAGGUAACCCAGAUCUCAGCAACAAAAAUAUGUGGAAAUGGAUGCUAAACUAUCUCUGUGGCACUGUCUCUGCUCGCAUCUCUAUUUCUUUUUGAGGUGCCUUACCCAAGAUGUGGUUUCAUCUGCAGUGACCCGUAGCAGUUCCUGGGGACCUGUUCUAUAGCAAAGAGAAGCAACUUUUAGCCAUGCUCCGCUUCAUUCUCCUCCUCCCUUCACUGUCUUAUUUUGAAGUCUGUAACACAUCUUAUUUCUUCUAGGGCUCCCCAGUGCUUGGGUAUCAGCAGCCAGCAGCUGUCUUGCUGGCUGCUUCGUGCAACCGUUGUCAACUUUACAGAGCUGCUAGCGCGUUCCUUGCUGAAUGGUCCCUUCAGGUUUGCAGGCUUAUUUCUGCCUUGCUGACUUUAUUAUCAGCCCAGUUUCCCCAGCCUAAUUACAGCUUCUCUCUUCCCACUGUCUGGUAAGCUGCAGGAAUGUUUGGAUGAACCUCUAAAUGAGCCUGAAGAUAACAGUUUACAGAAAACAAAUAAGUACCCUUGAAAGUAGAAGAAGAGUCUCCAGACAGUCUGAAUCUUGCUUAUCUUUGCAAGAUGGUACCUUGAAGGCCUGUAAGUUUCUGAUAACACUUCUUUGUUAUGCAGUGCAAAAUAAGAAUGCGAUUUUCAUUUGGACACGGACACCAUCUGCAGUCACCAGAUGCAGUUAUCAAGAUUAAAUUGCAAGACUUGUCACUGAUUAUGCUGGUAAUCAUUGAGGUGAUCAGUGUAAUUAUCAUGAGAUCGAGACAUUUUCUCUGAUAUGGUACUGUGGAAUUGAGUUGCAGGAGCAUCCAUCAUGAGCUACUGGGUAGAGUCAGAACAUGGCACUUUUCCUCUUGGAUCAUGUUUUUUUCUAAGAUAGAAUAAAAUAGAUAAGCAAAUACUGUGAAACUGACUGUCUGUUUUGAAAACACUUUCCAUUGGAUUCUGUCAGUUUUGUUGAAAGCCUGCUUCAUUGCCUGUCCAUGAAAAGCACCUGUCCAUUCACUUCAUACCCACGCUUUAGAAUAGUCUUUAUUCUGAGUCUUCUUACCCGAAGAAGAUGCAAUAUUUAUAUUUCAUGUUAUUUUAACCCUUCCAAAUAUUUUUUCCUAGUUUAAAUCAUCUGGAGUUUUGGCCUAGCUACUUCUGGAACAAGUUUUCUUGCUAGAACAAAAUUGUUUUAAUGAUGUCACAGAAAAUGUGACUAAGAGUGGAUAGAAUAUGAUCUUAAAUGCUAAACAAUCAUUUCAAGUCUAAUGCACAAGAAUAAUUAACCAAGAAACAAAUUAUAUGGCUUUGAAGAACACAUCAGAUCAUCAUUUGUCUGUGCUGGAGCAUUUCCGUUAAUCAUCUGUAAUAUGGUUCUUCAUGUAUUGAUGUAGUGGUAAAACAAAUCCAUUCUGCAGAAGUGUUUGCUGAAGAGUGAGCCUUUGUUCAUUCUCUUGUAGAUUAUCAAGCUGACUUCUUGCAAAUACAAAGAUGAAUUAUGUUCAACAAUUGAUGAUAUUAAGCCUAUAUCUAAUACUUUUCAUUUUUCACUCACUUCAUGUUGCCACUCACACACACUAGAAGCGUAUGUAAUGUUUUGGGUCCUUUUUCAAACGGCAUAGAUAUGCAGUCAGAAUAUGGUUUAUACUUCCCAGCAGUGUAUUGCUCAGGGAAAGGAUGAGAGUUUUUGUAGUCUAAAUCAUCUGAAGACGAUGCAGGUGAAGACUGAGAAAAGUGGGCAGCAUUAAGCGUUAAAGCAAGGAAUGGUGACAGUGAAAGAGUAAAACUGCAUUCAGUCUUUGUCAGGGCUAAGAGCAUCCCUGACAGCUGUUCCUUUAAUUUCCAUCAAGCACAUCGAAUUUGAUUCCAAGGAAUAUGUUGCCACAGAAAACUUCCAGAAGAAAAUCAUCACAGGGAAGAUAGGAGAUAAUUGCUAAUAUUUUUAUUCUGUCACUGAUCUGUUCUUAUAUCUGCUAAGCUUCACAUAAUUAUUUAUCGUUAGAGGCUUAUAAAAUAAUUUUUGACUUGAGAUGAAAAGGGAGAAAAGUCAAAUACAUUUUUACCAUGAACACAACCCAUCAAUCUUAAAGUGCUGAUUCAUUUGCCCACACAGUAUAAUUAAGUAAGCUGUUAAUCUAUAAUAAAGAGGAAUACAUUUGGUGAUCUCACAAUCAGAAAGUAAUUAUAGCUUAAAAUGUUCCUUUGGCUUUCCUUAACCAUUUUAUCACUCUGUAAUUGUUUAGAGAGAGUAUUCAGAGCUGUAAGAUCUAUAAACUUGCACCUAUGUUAUUUGCUCCUGCCACUAUAAACAUCUUGCCAUGAGCAGCUGUUAGAAAGAUGUCUGUACUGGAAGAUUUUGGGGAAAAAAUAUUGAUGUGCAUUCCAAGCGCUGUCUUGAGGGAGAAUAUUAUAGUUUGAGUACGUUUGGUGUUUCAUUAGAUAAUGAAUCCAUUAUGUAAUUGAAGUUCAGGCUCGCACUGAUUAAUCAUGACAUUUCAAUUAUUCACUGAAUCGGUGAUCUUUUGCACCUCCUUUCCCCACCUCAUUUGCUGUUGGCUUCUAUUCAUUUUUCUGUUACUGCUUUAGGAUUUCACUGUGGCAUGCUCUGAGAUCCUGAAAGUCUUCCCCUGCCAGAGACAUUCUUUGGGGAAUUCAGAUCACCUGGCACCUUGCAGGCAGUUCUUGGCAUCUCUCUGGUUUGUUGCUGUCCUGUGGCUCCUGCUCAACUCCAGCUCACAGUUAUCCUCGCUUUCCAGCUCCGUACUUAGAGUAGCCAGGCAGGAUGUCCCUCAGUGUACACAGACCCUGGUGGCAAAUAUAUUUGGUUUCAGUAAAAUUGGGUAAAAUGGUUCAGUCCUCAGUUCUUCAGCAAACUGGACUGCUUGGAUUGGGGAAUUACCUCUGAAUCUUAACCUGUAGCCUCCAGCUUAUGACUGUCUUGUUAAUACUAAUUGCAAGCUAAUAUUUUUACAUCUAGGCUAGUGUAUGUCUAUAUUAAUUGGCAAAGAGAAAAAAGGAAUAAAAAGACAUAAAAUACAGCUGUCUUUAGGUGUAGACAGUAAGGCUGGUUUGUGCAUAUGCUGUAACAAACACACUGGUGUUACAGGAAGAUGAGUUGAAGGAAAACAAUUCAUUAAAAACAGUAUUUUUUUUGUCAGAGGGUAGUUUGAUAAACCCGAUUUAAAGCAAAGGUAUUCGAUAGGCAAAGUUAAGGCCCAUUGUAAUAGAGUAGUAAGAGACUAGAUUUAUCAACGAAUGUGUCUUUUCUGAAUAGCAGGACAGUCAGUGUCUUCAAGAAAAUCGUAAUAAUAGUGUCAGAUAUUUUGAACCUAUAAAAUAUCUCAGUAAUGGACUGGAAGUCAGAUAAAACAGUGAUCUUGUUACAGUGUUCCCUUUUAAUGGAUUUCUAGUUGUAAAAUUUUAAUAUUUAUUCAAAAUUCUAGUUUACUUUAACGGAUAACUAAGAAAAGAGGUCUGUAGAAAAAGCUUGUCUAGUCUGUAAUUCUCCACACUGUUCUUUCUGAAGCUCAGAAGUGACAGAUCAAACAGAUUGAGUGCAAUCACUGCACAGCCGAUGGGCCACCCCCUGGGGUUGGUCGGCUGGCUUCUGUCGUUUUCCUCUUCCCAUUCCUACUUGCUGGUUUAAGCAUAUAAACUCCAGCAACAAGAAAUUCCUCUCUAAUCUUGGCACCUUCAGUAGUAACAACUACAAGCUAGCCCCGGAUGCUGAGCGUUUCUUGUUAGUACUGACCUGAGUGACAUUGCUGAGAUGAGAGAUGCAAUAUUUUUCAUCAGGAAAUCCAGUUUUGAAGACAAGAGGAGAGAUUAGUCUAGCACAUUACUGAUAACGAAAAUGCUUUCACUGAAUUUCCUUCACAGUCAGACGUGUGUGCCAUUUAACCUUCUUGGCACACAACUAAGAUGGUGCAGUUGCUCAAAUGCAAAGAAGACAUAAUUUAGCUUACGGAAUCCACACAGAUAAUCAUGCCUGAGAUGGAGCUUUCUCUUGGCGUAAGUGAUCAGCAGUGAAAACCCUUUGUAGCCAGAUUUUUCUGACCCUAGAAGCCACAUAAAAAUCUGCGAGUGGCUGACUACUCUGCUCUAUCUUUCGUACUGUGCUCCCAGAGCUGACUCUACAAGCUUGCCUUGCUCCUUUGCCCUCCCCAUCUUCCCACAGAACCCAGUACUGUGGUAGCUGAACCCUAGCAUCAAUCAUAUUUUUGGGACAGCACUACAGUCCCUUUUCUCACACGAGGCACUUUGUAUGCUUCUGCAUUCUGUUUUUCUUUUGUAACUCAUUUUGUGUUGUACCCUUGUCCUGUCAUACCUUUGUAGUCAUGUGUAAUAUCUGGAGAGAUUGCACCCAAAGGAUAAAAACUUUGUAUAACUGGGAUGGUAUUUGCCCAUUGGCAGGGCUGCACUCUCUUGUUCUUGGGUUAUGACCCCAAGGGGCAGGUGCAGCUAACUGUUCCAAUCAGUUAUCAGUCAAGUAGAUGUGAUGAGCCAUCUUUAGCAAUAUAUAUGAUGUCUUAUUGUACCUUUUGCUGUCUUAGUACUGUCAUAAACAAAAACUCUCAGUCUGUUUCAGUGUCACUUUUAUGCUGUUCUCUGUGAUGUUUAUAAGAUUUCCUAUAUGUUGCUCUGAAGACACAGUGGCAUAAAUUAUUUUUAAAGUAAUCUUGUCACGGUCUUUCUGUAUGACUUGGCUAAGUUUUCAGGCCCUUAUUUCCAGAUGGAUAGCCAGCAGCACUAAUGCUUCUUUACCUCGCUGAAUUUUAUGUGGGGAGGAGUUAUUAAUUGAAUACUUGAAUUAGUAAUAUCAUAGAUGCUAAGCACUCAGAUGCCCAGAUAGGUUUAUACACUUUGCUUGUCUGAAAGGCAGACAUCUGCAAGAACCUGACACCUGGAGCUUUGGUUAAACAGUCACUGUGUAUUAGAAUCAAACGUAAACAUCUUGAAAUCCACAAGGAAAGCACAUUUUCCCACAUUGCUGGAUGUUUGUACAGAAUGGCCAUGGGGGGCACAAAAAAAAAAUAGUUAAAAUGGUAAGGCUGUAAAAAGUUCUUUUGUGUCAUCUGCACUCUGAAGUUUUAUUGCCCUGCAGUAUUUUACUUAUACACUAGGUUUUCUAUGUGUCUACUUGUAUUUUAGAAAUGUACACAAAAUAUCUUUCUAUGUCAUGCCGUUAUCUGUCCUUGAACAUUGCUGUCAUUUUUCCUGUGCCUUUAUUUACUUGAUCAUUUAUUUUUCAGUGUUUUUUUCUUUAUUUACAGAUUUCCAACUAACUCAUAUGUUUGUUGCAAUUCUAUGUCUUCCGUCUCUUUUUCUGUAGUCUUUAAUUUUCCUGUCUGCUGUGUGUCACCUGUCUUUAUUCCAAUCUCCAUUACCUUCUUCUUUAUUUAAUGCAUUCCAGGCUGAGAAAAUCUAAUAGAUGCUCCAGAAGUAAAAAAUCUUCCUUUUGGCAUUGCUAAAGGUCAGAUCCUAGUUCUCUUUUCUCUUGUAGUUGAUAGGAUGCCUGACAGUAAAGGAUGUGUUCAGUAUGGAUUUGUUAGUGGAUCUCAAACCACAGAUAUGGGAUAAGAUGUUCUGAUUAUGGAAGUUUUAAAAGCUCUGUUUUCCUUGAGUGAUGCUCAGUCUCAUUGGAUUGUUUCCAGUUAAUUUACUGAGAAUUUGCUGAGCUUUAUUCUUGCUCAGCAAAGUUUUUGUUGACUGGAUUGUUAAUUACGGGUUUAAACUUGUAUUUGCUCUUUGUAACAACUUAAAACAGUGGGAGUUUUUCUCCCUCUUUACCCAUUUAGUCAGUAUUCUCUUAUGAAGAGGCAUUGCUUCAUUAAACAUCUUCCUGCUCAGUCUGUAAUGAUCCUACUCCUUCCACUCUAAACACAUUAAUACAUUAAAGAAAAAGAGCUUCACUUGUCUUCAUCGGGCUGAAGACAUCCCACAUUUUCUUUGGUGUAUAAGGCAUCUUUGACACAUUACAUUUGCUGUGGAGGUCUCAGCAGGAUCUGUGGCGUAAUUUAUGUUGGUGCAUGAAUGUUUUCCCACACUUGUAUAAUAUUAAUGAAUACUGUUAUGCAGAAAAACUGAAGUCUGGUAGCAUUAGCAGAGAUGUUAGUGUCACAUUUCCCAUGUUGGGCUAUCCAGGGGCUAAUAGUGAUCAAAGUCUUAAAAGUUCAUAAAGCUAAUUCUGAUACAUUUAUAACUGUGUCACUGAUACUAUCUUAUGCUAACAAAGGUGCUGGUAUAGAUGUAGAGAGAUGUAGAGUGUUAAAACACUAUCUCCUGGGUGAUUUUUUUUUUUCAUCAGGGUUCUUGUAGUCUUUAUUUUUAGCCUGUAAGAAAGCAAAUAUGAUGCACAGUCCUCACAGUCUGGUGAAAACAGCAGGAUUUUUAUGCCUCUGCAGAAUUAAACAUCUAAGAUAACUGCAUCUCUUUGCUCUUUUACCUCGUUCUAUGAUGGCAGUAGGACUCCAGUAUCACUGGUGGAAAGCUACUGUGUACAAGUAUUAGUGAUGAGGUGAUGCCUACUGCUUCUGUGAUGGUGAGUUGAACCACUCUUCUGCUCUCUUGGUGCAGCACGGUAGUGAGACCCGUA
RNAcentral lists this long non-coding RNA (26661 nucleotides) under Gallus gallus (chicken). The record is from RNAcentral. Lineage: Eukaryota; Metazoa; Chordata; Aves; Galliformes; Phasianidae.